Molecule: ribosomal RNA, 601 nt
Filed under: uncultured fungus
Lineage: Eukaryota; Fungi
Description: eukaryotic LSU rRNA
Rfam family: Eukaryotic large subunit ribosomal RNA
Source: RNAcentral
AGCAUAUCAAUAAGCGGAGGAAAAGAAACCAACAGGGAUUGCCUCAGUAACGGCGAGUGAAGCGGCAAAAGCUCAAAUUUGAAAUCUGGCUCUUUCAGGGUCCGAGUUGUAAUUUGUAGAAGAUGCUUCGGGUGUGGUUCCGGUCUAAGUUCCUUGGAACAGGACGUCAUAGAGGGUGAGAAUCCCGUAUGUGGCUGGGUACCUACGCUCAUGUGAAGCUCUUUCGACGAGUCGAGUUGUUUGGGAAUGCAGCUCAAAAUGGGUGGUAUAUUUCAUCUAAAGCUAAAUAUUGGCCAGAGACCGAUAGCGCACAAGUAGAGUGAUCGAAAGAUGAAAAGCACUUUGGAAAGAGAGUUAAACAGUACGUGAAAUUGUUGAAAGGGAAGCGCUUGCAAUCAGACUUGCACCUGGUGUUCAGCGGGGCUUCGUGCCCCGUGUACUUCAUCAGGUUCAGGCCAGCAUCGGUUUGGGUGGUUGGAUAAAGGCCUUGAGAAUGUGACCCUCUUCGGGGGGUGUUAUAGCUCUCGGUGCAAUGCAGCCUACCUGGACCGAGGACCGCGCUUCGGCUAGGAUGCUGGCGUAAUGGUUGUAAGCGACCCGU